CAGGCUGUCAACAGUGGCAGUAGUUGGGGGCUCCCAUCUAUGAAAAAGCCACAGAAAGUCUUUUCCUACUGCCUGAGGAAUUAAUCCCUUCUUUAACGUUCAUAAUUGCUGGAUCGAUUUAACAGGACUGGAGCUAACAUUUGCUUGGAUUUGGCACCAUUGAUAGGGAACUGCCUGCUGCGUCCUCCGCUUUGAAGUCACCCUGGUCUUUGGGCCUCCAGCACCUUCUUCAGCAUGUCCAACCCAUCUAAGAGGCGUAUGAUACUGGUGUUCCACUGGGUUAGGAAGAAGCCAUUGACAGAGAAGCCGUGCUCUACCAUCUCGGCCAGACCUUCUGCCUCUGCACCGGCUUGCAACACUCCUCACAUUUCACCCUACUUCACGAGGAGCAAGACACAACCCGCUCCGCUCAGGAGGUCCAGCAGGCGCAAGGUGCUGCAAUUGCCGAAUCUCACCGACCCCAAGUUGUUAAGAUCUGUCAUUGGCAGCGUUGGCCGGAAGAGAGCCCGCAGGUGUGGCAAGCAAAAGAUGCCCACGAGCAUUUAAGAUAUGAAAAGCUACUGGAUUUAAUCAGGAAGUUAUGAGACAUGCACUGAUUGGAAGCGAAGCUGUAUAUCGGCCCUGAACCUUCUGCAGGUGCAGAUUAAGUAGGCUUGCUUUUAAAUGCCAUCUGAAUCAAGUUUCUCCCCCAUCCCUAUUGGUAGCUAUGUGGAGGGUUGCUACCACUUCUUCCUCCCUCCCUCUCCACUCCAGUGUAUCUUUUAACAUGAGCCAAAGAAGCAGACAAAAGGCAAAUGCUUUCCUCUCAGCUCUGUUCCCACUGGAGUCCACUGGUCUCCCCUUCUGUCACAGGCUCAUCCCUGAUCUCUCCCAGGUACCAGACGCUUUGCAACCAGAAGUUUAGUGAUCCUUCCACUUUGUUCCAGAUUUGGCAAGUAGGCCACAUAUGCCUUCCAGAUCUCGAGAAGAGGCCUGCCAUCUUCCACGCUUUGAUGCUGAGUGUCACGGAGGUGUUCCAUAAAGGCUUCCCUUUUACGGAUUAGAAAAAAAUACAAAUAUACAAAAAAAGGAAAAUACAUGUAACCAAUAAAAAAUUAGAAAACAUUUUACCUCUUCUCAUAUUUACAAUUAUUUGCACCUCUACAAAACAAUAUUCACAAUAAAGAAAAGAAAUGAAAGGUAAAAUAUAAA
RNAcentral lists this long non-coding RNA (1191 nucleotides) under Podarcis lilfordi (Lilford's wall lizard). The record is from RNAcentral. Lineage: Eukaryota; Metazoa; Chordata; Lepidosauria; Squamata; Lacertidae.